RNAcentral lists this ribosomal RNA (301 nucleotides) under uncultured bacterium. RNAcentral's name for it is "partial 16S ribosomal RNA". It matches the Rfam family "Bacterial small subunit ribosomal RNA", at positions 509 to 808 of the family's 1533-position model. The record is from RNAcentral.
CAGCCGCCGCGGUAAUACAGAGGGUGCAAGCGUUACUCGGAAUUACUGGGCGUAAAGCGUGCGUAGGUGGUGGUUUAAGUCCGUUGUGAAAGCCCUGGGCUCAACCUGGGAAUUGCAGUGGAUACUGGGUCACUAGAGUGUGGUAGAGGAUAGUGGAAUUUCCGGUGUAGCAGUGAAAUGCGUAGAGAUCGGAAGGAACAUCUGUGGCGAAGGCGACUAUCUGGGCCAACACUGACACUGAGGCACGAAAGCGUGGGGAGCAAACAGGAUUAGAUACCCGGUAGUCCCUGUCUCUUAUACA